GGGGUUGUGGCUCAGCAGUGGAGCACUCACCUUGAAUGUGUGAGACUCUGGGUUUGAUCCUCAGCACCA
Non-coding RNA from Ictidomys tridecemlineatus (thirteen-lined ground squirrel), 69 nucleotides. The record is from Rfam. NCBI's taxonomy places the organism in Eukaryota, Metazoa, Chordata, Mammalia, Rodentia, Sciuridae.